Molecule: ribosomal RNA, 468 nt
Filed under: uncultured bacterium
Lineage: Bacteria
Description: partial 16S ribosomal RNA
Rfam family: Bacterial small subunit ribosomal RNA
Source: RNAcentral
GACGAACGCUGGCGGCGUGCUUAACACAUGCAAGUCGAACGGAAAGGCCCUGCUUUUGUGUGGUUCUCGAGUGGCGAACGGGUGAGUAACACGUGAGUAACCUGCCCUUGACUUUGGGAUAACUUCAGGAAACUGGGGUUACUACCGGAUCGGAGCUCCUGCUGCAUGGUGGGGGUUGGAAAGUUUCGGCGGUCGGGGAUGGACUCGCGGCUUAUCAGCUUGUUGGUGGGGUAGUGGCUUACCAAGGCUUUGACGGGUAGCCGGCCUGAGAGGGUGACCGGCCACAUUGGGACUGAGAUACGGCCCAGACUCCUACGGGAGGCAGCAGUGGGGAAUAUUGCACAAUGGGCGGAAGCCUGAUGCAGCAACGCCGCGUGCGGGAUGACGGCCUUCGGGUUGUAAACCGCUUUCGCCUGUGACGAAGCGUGAGUGACGGUAAUGGGUAAAGAAGCACCGGCUAACUACGUG